This 407-nucleotide ribosomal RNA is filed under the name uncultured bacterium. RNAcentral describes it as "partial 16S ribosomal RNA". It matches the Rfam family "Bacterial small subunit ribosomal RNA", at positions 30 to 526 of the family's 1533-position model. The record is from RNAcentral.
AUUGAACGCUGGCGGCAGGCCUAACACAUGCAAGUCGAGCGGAGCGGCGGACGGGUGAGUAAUGCAUAGGAAUCUGCCUGGUAGUGGGGGAUAACGUCCGGAAACGGGCGCUAAUAACGCAUACUCUCGAAUGAGCCUAGGUCGGAUUAGCUAGUUGGUGGGGUAAAGGCCUACAAAGGCGACGUUCCGUAAAUGGUCUGAGAGGAUGAUCGGUCAAACUGAAACGUAGACACGGUCCAGACUCCUACGGGAGGCAGCCGUGGGGAAUAUUGGACAAUGGGCGAAAGCCUGAUCAAGCCAGGCCGCGUGUGUAAAGAAGGUCUUCGGAUUGUAAAGCACUUUAAGUUGGGAGGCGUUACCAACAGAAUAAACGCCGGCUAACUUCGGGCCAGCAGCCGCGGUAAUAC